ACACUGAUAGUGUAGUGGUUAGCAUAAGUGCCUUCCAAUGGAUUAGCACUUGACCGGGGUUCGAAUCCCCGUCAGUGUA
The sequence is a transfer RNA, 79 nucleotides long. It matches the Rfam family "tRNA". From Rfam's summary of the family: Transfer RNA (tRNA) molecules are approximately 80 nucleotides in length. Their secondary structure includes four short double-helical elements and three loops (D, anti-codon, and T loops). The record is from Rfam.